Molecule: ribosomal RNA, 486 nt
Filed under: uncultured bacterium
Lineage: Bacteria
Description: partial 16S ribosomal RNA
Rfam family: Bacterial small subunit ribosomal RNA
Source: RNAcentral
AGUGAACGCUGGCGGUAUGCCUUACACAUGCAAGUCGAACGGCAGCACAGUAGCUGGCUGCUGUUGCGGGUUGGCAGACGCGUGAGGAAGAGAUCUACAUAUGUCCUUAAGUUUUGGAGGGCGCUAAGAAAGCGGGAUUAAUACCGCAUACGCAUAAGACAUAAGAGUGGAAGCCGGUGAUCUUUGGAGCUUUCGGGUUUGCAGAUGGCGGAUUAGCUAGUUGGCGGGGUAAAGGCCUACCAAGGCGACGAUCAGUAGCUGGUCUGAGAGGAUGAGCAGCCACACUGGAACUGAGACACGGUCCAGACUCCUACGGGAGGCAGCAGUGGGGAAUUUUGGACAAUGGGCGCAAGCCUGAUCCAGCCAUGCCGCGUGUGUGAAGAAGGCCUUCGGGUUGUAAAGCCCUUUUGUUGGGAAAGAAAAGCUGCGGGUUAAUACCCUGCGGGGCUGACGGUACCCAAAGAAUAAGCACCGGCUAACUACGUG